Molecule: small RNA, 349 nt
Filed under: Pongo abelii (Sumatran orangutan)
Lineage: Eukaryota; Metazoa; Chordata; Mammalia; Primates; Hominidae
Description: processed transcript
Source: RNAcentral
CCACUGUGACCAUGACAGGAAAUGGGACUCGGCCCCCCCCAACUCCCAAUGCAGAGGCACCUCCCCCUGGUCCUGGGCAGGCCUCAUCCGUGGCUCCGUCUUCUACCAAUGUCGAGUCCUCAGCUGAGGGGGCUCCCCCGCCAGGUCCAGCUCCCCCGCCAGCUACCAGCCACCCGAGGGUCAUCCGGAUUUCCCACCAGAGUGUGGAACCCGUGGUUAUGAUGCACAUGAACAUUCAAGAUUCUGGCACACAGCCUGGUGGUGUUCCGAGUGCUCCCACUGGCCCCCUGGGACCCCCUGGUCAUGGCCAAACCCUGGGUAAGAGUGAGGGCAUCAGGGCAGGCUGAGC